ACACCAAGCGACAGGGUUCUCAUGCCCCGAUCUGCCUCCUUUCCACGGGGAAACACGCCCCACCUCGACAGGUCGGGGAGCAACCCCCCGUCUUCUCCCGAGUCUCGAGCUCUCCGUGUUGCUCGCGAGAUGCGACGAACGGCCGCCGCCGCCGCCGCCGCGAACGGCCGACCUUCUUCCCCACCUCCAUCGUCCCCUCCUCCACAGCUGUUGCUUCCACAUCUCCACACCUUUGCCUUCAUGGCCGCCACUACUUCCACGCCGUCGGCGUCUCCGUCUCCGUCUCCGUGGCCACCGGCACCUCACCUCCAAACUGUGGCUCAGCAUCUAUCUGUAUGCUCGUUUCCUGCAACCCCCUUUUCCUUCUCCAUUUCCUCUUCCUUCCCCCUUCCUAUUUUUUCUAGGGUGUGCUUACUUCUUAGAAUAGAUCUUGUGAAAUUGAUGAUUUCUUCCCCUGCUCCUCCCCGGUGUAGAGUCCUCCGACACCAUCUUUCGAUUGCUGAAGGCAUCUCCUCCCUUCCACAGACACUGGAGGUUUUCUGCCACCAAGCUGAACAAAGCAAGGAUAGGGUUACCAAUAAAGAUCCUAUUCUUUCUGAUUGGAUUUUAUUCACUACACAGCUACUACAUGAUCACUACCUUGAUCUUUUAAUAUGAUUAAUUACUUAGCCCUUGCUCUAUUUGAUUUAGUCUCUCCCUCUGGCUUAGAGUUCUACAUGUAAACCAAACCGAGGUAGUUGAUGAAUUCUAUUAUGUUAGAGUAGUUUAGUUGAUGAAACAGUUAUGCAGAAAAUGGAACCUGUAAGAAUCUUUACCUUUUAAUGUAGUCUGAGUUUUCAGUUUGAUUUCACUUGGACAUGCACAUGUCUUUUUUCCAGGUUUCUUUACUCUAGUUCUGAAUUUAACUUGCACAUGUACAGAAAGUUACCUGCAACUUAAAUGCUAUGGUAUUCAGUGGAAUGCGUGAGUCAUGAUCUGUAGUAGACUAGUGGCUACUUGGUUUCUGAAGCAAUUUAUCUAGGUUGUAGUAGACUAGAUUUUUUUUUUUUGAAAUUUAAGAUCUAGUCGAUGGUAAAAGGUUGCUACUAGCUAUAUCUAGUGAAGCUUCAUGAUCUUUAGUUCAUUGUGUAUUGCAUAUGUGCUGCUUGAAUAAUUAAAUUUUAAUUCCUACUGA
Molecule: long non-coding RNA, 1174 nt
Organism: Panicum virgatum (switchgrass)
Lineage: Eukaryota; Viridiplantae; Streptophyta; Magnoliopsida; Poales; Poaceae
Exons: 2
Source: RefSeq, a predicted model, not a curated record